AGUACAGCUUUGCUGGAGGAUAUGCUGAAUGCCAGUAAGGGAUUGAGAUAAAGAGCAAGUGAAUUUGUGCAUAAAUAAGCUGGAGAAAUCUUCUUUUGGAGUUGGGCUUCUGGUACUUGACAUAGGACAUCUGAAAGUGACUGACCAAGAUUCUGCUGACAGACSUCGUUGAAGUUUUUAUAAAUUUCUUGGCCAAUUUUUUAAAUUUCCUUUGCUAGUGGCUUGUAUGAUGUGCUAUUAGGUUUGCAGAUAGAUUUAUUUGCUGUGACAUUUAAUUGAGUGAAUGGCUCACGUUUUUU
Molecule: long non-coding RNA, 299 nt
Organism: Exaiptasia diaphana
Lineage: Eukaryota; Metazoa; Cnidaria; Anthozoa; Actiniaria; Aiptasiidae
Exons: 3
Source: RefSeq, a predicted model, not a curated record